UGUGGUGACACAUUUAGCGGACUAAUACUAAUAGCUCGAGGCCUUAUCCAAA
This 52-nucleotide ribosomal RNA is filed under the name Streptococcus agalactiae GB00202. RNAcentral's name for it is "partial 23S ribosomal RNA". Lineage: Bacteria; Bacillati; Bacillota; Bacilli; Lactobacillales; Streptococcaceae. The record is from RNAcentral.